Molecule: long non-coding RNA, 711 nt
Organism: Mesocricetus auratus (golden hamster)
Lineage: Eukaryota; Metazoa; Chordata; Mammalia; Rodentia; Cricetidae
Exons: 3
Source: RefSeq, a predicted model, not a curated record
AAAUCCUGCGAAAGCCACUGAAAGCUCAGCAUGUAAAAUACUGUUGAAACGAGGAACAUAAUACACACUCAUGAGGUGGCUUGUGAGCACUUUCUUUUCACCUCACAUAUGAACCUGAGGAGCGCACACCUUGCCCAAGUGUGUAGAGAUGACUCGGCCCUUCGCAGGCCCAGGCGGAUGAAGGAAUGGUACAUGGUGAGCGCCACAUCGCUGAGGCUGUGGAUGCCAUCUGGCUCAUCAUAGACGUUCUCCCAGUAGGAGCGGAGGCCCGGGGUGCCCGCAGGAUAGUUCCCAUACAGGAUGGACUGGUGAGUGAGCAGGAAGCCCCGAAGAAAGAAGCAUCCUGGCAUGGUGCUGAACUUCUCACCACCUUCACUUCCUGAGUCCCAGCACCUCUGUACUGGAGAGGAGUUGGACAUCACUAGGGAAUCAGCCUACUUGAGUUCAUGCCCUCUGCUACUUCCUGGGCAUACCACCCAAAUGCUCCAGCCUCAAUUUUCCUGUCUUUGAAGCGUGGACAGAAGCAUGAGUUACCAGCACAUGUUAUCAGUUGCUGUUAAGUGAUUACCACUGCCACUUCAUUUGGCUACUAGGUUCCCUAUUGACCUACAGGUUGUCAUUACAUAGGGACAAUAACCAGUCUCACUGGCAAGAUGGCUUCCAUCUCUAACUGUUAUUCUGCUAUUCUCUGACUGCAGAUUGAUCUUCUUC